CGAACGCUGGCGGCGUGCUUAACACAUGCAAGUCGAACGGAAAGGCCCUGCUUUUGUGGGGUGCUCGAGUGGCGAACGGGUGAGUAACACGUGAGUAACCUGCCCUUGACUUUGGGAUAACUUCAGGAAACUGGGGCUAAUACCGGAUAGGAGCUCCUGCUGCAUGGUGGGGGUUGGAAAGUUUCGGCGGUUGGGGAUGGACUCGCGGCUUAUCAGCUUGUUGGUGGGGUAGUGGCUUACCAAGGCUUUGACGGGUAGCCGGCCUGAGAGGGUGACCGGCCACAUUGGGACUGAGAUACGGCCCAGACUCCUACGGGAGGCAGCAGUGGGGAAUAUUGCACAAUGGGCGGAAGCCUGAUGCAGCAACGCCGCGUGCGGGAUGACGGCCUUCGGGUUGUAAACCGCUUUCGCCUGUGACGAAGCGUGAGUGACGGUAAUGGGUAAAGAAGCACCGGCUAACUACGUGC
This 467-nucleotide ribosomal RNA is filed under the name uncultured bacterium. RNAcentral describes it as "partial 16S ribosomal RNA". It matches the Rfam family "Bacterial small subunit ribosomal RNA", at positions 30 to 508 of the family's 1533-position model. The record is from RNAcentral.